This 400-nucleotide unclassified non-coding RNA is filed under the name soil metagenome. RNAcentral describes it as "partial contains 5.8S ribosomal RNA, internal transcribed spacer 2, and large subunit ribosomal RNA". The stretch from base 1 to 122 matches the Rfam family "5.8S ribosomal RNA", at positions 35 to 154 of the family's 154-position model. The record is from RNAcentral.
GAUGAAGAACGCAGCGAAAUGCGAUACUUGGUGUGAAUUGCAGAAUCCCGUGAACCAUCGAGUCUUUGAACGCAAGUUGCGCCUCAAGCCAUUAGGUUGAGGGCACGUCUGCCUGGGCGUCACAUAUCGUUGCCUGAUGCCAGUUUCCUCGUGAUGGGUGACUGUGCAGGGCGAAUGAUGGCUUCCCGUGAGCAUUGUUGCCUCAUGGUUGGUUGAAAAUUGAGUCCUUGGUGGGGAGCGCCGUGAUAGAUGGUGGUUGAGUGACGAACGAGACCCAAUCAUGUGAGACCCCUACCGAAUUUGGCCUUCAUGACCCACAUGCGUCUUUGGAACGCUCAUGACGAGACCUCAGGUCAGGCGGGGCUACCCGCUGAGUUUAAGCAUAUCAAUAAGCGGAGGA